UACGAAGGGGGCUAGCGUUGCUCGGAAUCACUGGGCGUAAAGCGCACGUAGGCGGAUUCCUAAGUCGGGGGUGAAAUCCUGGAGCUCAACUCCAGAACUGCCUUCGAUACUGGGAAUCUUGAGUCCGGAAGAGGUGAGUGGAACUGCGAGUGUAGAGGUGAAAUUCGUAGAUAUUCGCAAGAACACCAGUGGCGAAGGCGGCUCACUGGUCCGGUACUGACGCUGAGGUGCGAAAGCGUGGGGAGCGAACAGG
Molecule: ribosomal RNA, 253 nt
Filed under: uncultured bacterium
Lineage: Bacteria
Description: partial 16S ribosomal RNA
Rfam family: Bacterial small subunit ribosomal RNA
Source: RNAcentral